This 446-nucleotide ribosomal RNA is filed under the name uncultured bacterium. Its description in RNAcentral is "bacterial SSU rRNA". It matches the Rfam family "Bacterial small subunit ribosomal RNA", at positions 29 to 507 of the family's 1533-position model. The record is from RNAcentral.
AACGAACGCUGGCGGCAGGCUUAACACAUGCAAGUCGAAGGUGAAGCAGGGCUUCGGCCCUGUGGAAACUGGCGCACGGGUGAGUAACGCGUGGGAAUCUACCCCGGGGUGGGGAAUAACCGCUGGAAACGGCGGCUAAUACCGCAUACGCCUUGCGAGGGAAAGCUUUAUGCGCCCUGGGAUGAGCCCGCGUCGGAUUAGCUUGUUGGUGAGGUAACGGCUCACCAAGGCUUCGAUCCGUAGCUGGUCUGAGAGGAUGAUCAGCCACACUGGGACUGAGACACGGCCCAGACUCCUACGGGAGGCAGCAGUGGGGAAUAUUGGACAAUGGGGGCAACCCUGAUCCAGCCAUGCCGCGUGCGUGAAGAAGGCCCUAGGGUUGUAAAGCGCUUUCGGCGGGGAAGAUGAUGACGGUACCCGCAGAAGAAGCCCCGGCUAACUCCGUG